Molecule: ribosomal RNA, 1081 nt
Filed under: Salmonella enterica
Lineage: Bacteria; Pseudomonadati; Pseudomonadota; Gammaproteobacteria; Enterobacterales; Enterobacteriaceae
Description: bacterial SSU rRNA
Rfam family: Bacterial small subunit ribosomal RNA
Source: RNAcentral
GAAGAGUUUGAUCAUGGCUCAGAUUGAACGCUGGCGGCAGGCCUAACACAUGCAAGUCGAACGGUAACAGGAAGCAGCUUGCUGCUUUGCUGACGAGUGGCGGACGGGUGAGUAAUGUCUGGGAAACUGCCUGAUGGAGGGGGAUAACUACUGGAAACGGUGGCUAAUACCGCAUAACGUCGCAAGACCAAAGAGGGGGACCUUCGGGCCUCUUGCCAUCAGAUGUGCCCAGAUGGGAUUAGCUUGUUGGUGAGGUAACGGCUCACCAAGGCGACGAUCCCUAGCUGGUCUGAGAGGAUGACCAGCCACACUGGAACUGAGACACGGUCCAGACUCCUACGGGAGGCAGCAGUGGGGAAUAUUGCACAAUGGGCGCAAGCCUGAUGCAGCCAUGCCGCGUGUAUGAAGAAGGCCUUCGGGUUGUAAAGUACUUUCAGCGGGGAGGAAGGUGUUGUGGUUAAUAACCGCAGCAAUUGACGUUACCCGCAGAAGAAGCACCGGCUAACUCCGUGCCAGCAGCCGCGGUAAUACGGAGGGUGCAAGCGUUAAUCGGAAUUACUGGGCGUAAAGCGCACGCAGGCGGUCUGUCAAGUCGGAUGUGAAAUCCCCGGGCUCAACCUGGGAACUGCAUUCGAAACUGGCAGGCUUGAGUCUUGUAGAGGGGGGUAGAAUUCCAGGUGUAGCGGUGAAAUGCGUAGAGAUCUGGAGGAAUACCGGUGGCGAAGGCGGCCCCCUGGACAAAGACUGACGCUCAGGUGCGAAAGCGUGGGGAGCAAACAGGAUUAGAUACCCUGGUAGUCCACGCCGUAAACGAUGUCUACUUGGAGGUUGUGCCCUUGAGGCGUGGCUUCCGGAGCUAACGCGUUAAGUAGACCGCCUGGGGAGUACGGCCGCAAGGUUAAAACUCAAAUGAAUUGACGGGGGCCCGCACAAGCGGUGGAGCAUGUGGUUUAAUUCGAUGCAACGCGAAGAACCUUACCUGGUCUUGACAUCCACAGAACUUUCCAGAGAUGGAUUGGUGCCUUCGGGAACUGUGAGACAGGUGCUGCAUGGCUGUCGUCAGCUCGUGUUGUGAAAUGUU